UGGGGAAUAUUGCACAAUGGGCGCAAGCCUGACGCAGCGACGCCGCGUGAGGGAAGAAGGCCUUCGGGUUGUAAACCUCUUUCAGUAGGGACGAAGCUACUCGGGUGAAUAGCCCAGAGGGUGACGGUACCUACAGAAGAAGCCCCGGCUAACUACGUGCCAGCAGCCGCGGUAAUACGUAGGGGGCAAGCGUUGUCCGGAUUUAUUGGGCGUAAAGAGCUCGUAGGUGGUUCGGUAAGUCGGAUGUGAAAUCUCCAGGCUCAACCUGGAGGGGUCAUUCGAUACUGCCGUGACUAGAGUUCGGUAGGGGAGUGUGGAAUUCCUGGUGGAGCGGUGAAAUGCGCAGAUAUCAGGAGGAACACCCGUAGCGAAGGCGGCACUCUGGGCCGAUACUGACACUGAGGUGCGAAAGCGUGGGGAGCGAACAGGAUUAGAUACCC
RNAcentral lists this ribosomal RNA (440 nucleotides) under uncultured bacterium. Its description in RNAcentral is "bacterial SSU rRNA". It matches the Rfam family "Bacterial small subunit ribosomal RNA", at positions 355 to 787 of the family's 1533-position model. The record is from RNAcentral.